GAUGAACGCUGGCGGCGUGCCUAAUACAUGCAAGUCGAGCGAACGGACGCGAAGCUUGCUUCUCUGAUGUUAGCGGCGGACGGGUGAGUAACACGUGGAUAACCUACCUUUAAGACUGGGAUAACUUCGGGAAUCCGGAGCUAAUACCGGAUGAUAUUUUGAACCGCAUGGUUCAAAAGUGAAAGACGGUCUUGCUGUCACUUAUAGAUGGAUCCGCGCUGCAUGAGCUAGUUGGUAAGGUAACGGCUUACCAAGGCGACGAUGCAUAGACGACCUGAGAGGGGGAUCGGCCACACUGGAAGUGAGACACGGUCCAGACUCCUACGGGAGGCAGCAGUAGGGAAUGUGCCGCAAUGGGCGAAAGCCUUGCGGAGCAACGCCGCGUGAGUGAUGAAGGCCUUCGGAUCGUAAAACUCUGUUAUUGGGGAAGAACAGAUGUGUACGUAACUGUGCACAUAUUGACGGUACCUAAUCAGAAAGCCACGGCUAACUACGUG
RNAcentral lists this ribosomal RNA (497 nucleotides) under uncultured bacterium. RNAcentral's name for it is "partial 16S ribosomal RNA". It matches the Rfam family "Bacterial small subunit ribosomal RNA", at positions 28 to 507 of the family's 1533-position model. The record is from RNAcentral.